RNAcentral lists this long non-coding RNA (1246 nucleotides) under Brassica napus (rape). RNAcentral's name for it is "long non-coding RNA (BNAP_LNC012764)". Lineage: Eukaryota; Viridiplantae; Streptophyta; Magnoliopsida; Brassicales; Brassicaceae. The record is from RNAcentral.
UCUGGUACCUAAACUCAACGCUCACGUCUUUCACCAUCGCCAGCCUCUCAAUCUCUCCAACGACGGCCUCUCUCCCGCUCUCCUCGAUCCAUAGAACGCCGAAGUCCGUCGGAUACUUCGCCGCCGGGUUAUCCCUCUCGAUCCACCCCCAACCGCCGGAUCGGACCUCCGAUUCGAGGUAAAUCCGAUGAGUUUCCGCCGGCUUGUAGUGCUUGAAUCGGAUUAUGUAGUUUGUGUGCGUCGCAGUCUCGGAUUCGGAGCGAGUUGCGUUCUGCGGGUUGAGACGGAGCCGCCAGAAGAGGAAAACGGAGAGGAGAACGACGAGGAUGUAGGAUCUGCAAGCGGAUGAAGAAGCUUCUGCGAGGAGCAUCUUCAUGGCGAUGGUUGGAUUAGGGUUUGAUGGCGAGAUUCGCUGACGCACAUGCCGUCGCUGGAAAAAGUGCAUCACUCCUAUGGUAGUUUUGAUGUUCUGGUCGCUGCACAAUGAUGAACCAUUAGCUUUAAACACUGCUACUCUUUAUCUAAAAUCUUCUAUGGUUUUAUUCAACCUUGAUGUUACGGAAAUGAGGAUGGUCAGCUCUAAUUCCAGUAUCAAAUAUAGCCAUUUUGACUUUAGCACCAGUGUACCCUUUCUUCCAGAGAACAUCUGCUCCAAACAUGGACGUCACUUGAGUCUUCUGAAACAUUAAACAAAAGUGUAACUCGUAAAAAGAAACUCACUUUCAAUUUACGAAUGCUACACUAUUAUAGUCACAUUAAGUGAGCAAACAAAAAAGCAGAUAUUAAUAUAUAACUUUGACAAUCUCUCUCACUUGAGCAAGAAGACGCCGUGACGUGGCGUUACUAGGAGCCGCCUUGGCAGAGUGAUCAGCACCUCCUUCGAAAGACAUGGAAGUGAAGAUCUUCCCCGGACGCUUCUCCCCGUCGAGAAAAGAUCCUCCCAGCAAAACUCUCUGGUACCUAAACUCAACGCUCACGUCUUUCACCAUCGCCAGCCUCUCAAUCUCUCCAACGACGGCCUCUCUCCCGCUCUCCUCGAUCCAUAGAACGCCGAAGUCCGUCGGAUACUUCGCCGCCGGGUUAUCCCUCUCGAUCCACCCCCAACCGCCGGAUCGGACCUCCGAUUCGAGGUAAAUCCGAUGAGUUUCCGCCGGCUUGUAGUGCUUGAAUCGGAUUAUGUAGUUUGUGUGCGUCGCAGUCUCGGAUUCGGAGCGAGUUGCGUUCUGCGGGUUGAGACGGAGCCGCC